UUCUGAGAAUCUGGUAUUUGAAAACCCGGUGUUUGUCUUGUAAUCUGUCAGCCUGAUCUGUCUCAACUAAAUGUCAAUCUGAUUUGUCUUGGAGUAGAAUAAUUAAAAAGGUUACGGGACACUUGAUUAUUUAAACUAAGUUUAAAUUAUAAAGAAAAUAAAUUUAAAAAUAAGUUUUAAAAGAUGAAAGAAAAUAAAGUAUAAAAUAAACUUAGUUAAAUCUAUAAAGUAAAUUUAAUUAUAUUUAAAAAAUAAAUUCAAAUAAAUUCAUAAUAAACUGAAUAAGUUUAGAAUAAAUUUAUUUCAAAUUCAUUUAGUAAAUAUAUUAAAAUUUAUUAGAUAAAUUUAAUUUUUGAAAAUAUUCAAGUGUCUCGUCUCCAAUUAAAUCAUAGCUUCCAGAACAAACUAAAUUGAACCCUUGAACUUGAACUUAUAUCCAUAAUCAGUUAAAUCCUCUUAGAUUUAUAUUCUAGAUUUUAACUUAAAUUUAAAUCAUAAACUAUACAAAUUUAAAUAAUAAAUUUAUAAAAUUUAUGAUAAACUUAAUAAAGUCUAAGAGUAAACUUUACAAGUCCAAAAUAAAUUUAAACAAAUUUAUUAAAUGAAUUUGAUAAAGUUUAUAAAGUAAAUUUAAUUAAGUUUAUAAGAUAAAUUUAAUUAAUUCAUAAUAAACUCAAUUAAUAAGUUUAAAAUAAAUUAAGUCAAAUUUAUAAAAUAAACUUAUUAAAAAAUAAAGUAUAAAUUUAUAAGUCCCGGUCCAAAGUUCAGUAUCCGACAGAUAAUCCUUACUUAGGCCUACGGACAAAUUCAGCAACACAAACCGGAAGAACAUUUCCCCUAAUCAAAUAUCAAAAGCUAGGUUCUUGAUUUUCCGUACGAUAAGGAUCCUGAUUUGAAUAUCAAUCAACCUCGCUCUGAUACCAAUUGUUAGGUCCAAAGUAUCGUAGAAGGGGGGGUUGAAUACGAUACUCACUACAAUUUAAAAUUCUUUCGAAUCUUGCGGAUAAAUAAAUUGCAGUCCUGUAAUGGGUUUCGUGUUCCGGAUAUUUAUUGGGUCGGUUUCUGAGGAUAUGAAAAUAUUAAACCAACACACAAUAUUUUCCAAGGUAUAUCUGUAUAUUGAUAAAUACCUCGAAGGGUGCUAUAAAUCCAAACCCGAAGGUUGGCUACAAUGACCACUCCUCUAAAUAUUACAAGCCCUAUCCACUACAAAUAUUUAUGGUACAAAACUAGGCUAGGGUGUGUGUAUAUUUGAGAGAGUUUGUGCAUAGCACUUGGCCAUCCAUCCCGAAGGAUGAUGUGUCAUUGNNNNNNNNNNNNNNNNNNNNNNNNNNNNNNNNNNNNNNNNNNNNNNNNNNNNNNNNNNNNNNNNNNNNNNNNNNNNNNNNNNNNNNNNNNNNNNNNNNNNNNNNNNNNNNNNNNNNNNNNNNNNNNNNNNNNNNNNNNNNNNNNNNNNNNNNNNNNNNNNNNNNNNNNNNNNNNNNNNNNNNNNNNNNNNNNNNNNNNNNNNNNNNNNNNNNNNNNNNNNNNNNNNNNNNNNNNNNNNNNNNNNNNNNNNNNNNNNNNNNNNNNNNNNNNNNNNNNNNNNNNNNNNNNNNNNNNNNNNNNNNNNNNNNNNNNNNNNNNNNNNNNNNNNNNNNNNNNNNNNNNNNNNNNNCUCUCUCUAAAUAUACAUAUAUAUUUAUGCACAUAAUAUAAUAUAUAUAUACACUUAAAUAUAUAAAUGUUUAUGUAAAAUAUAAAUACAUAUAUUAUAUACAUAUAUAUUUAUUUAAAUAUAUAUACAUAUAAAUAUACAUAUACAUAUGUUUAAAAACAUAUAUACAUAUAUAUUAUAUAUAUUAUAUUUAAUUAAAUAUACAUAUAUACAUAUAUAAUUAUAUUUGUACAUAUACAAAUAUAUAAGUGCACACAUAUAUAAAAUGUCACUUCCUGAUAUGGCUUUCUGUGGAAGCUUUGACAUAUGGCAUUUGAGCAGUAAGCUUUGGCAUAGCUGGCAUUUGACUUGGCUUGGCUUGGCUUUGGAACAAAUGACUUGAUAUGACUGGAUCAAUUCUUCGAUCGAUAAAUACUUUGCAAAGCUCCGUACGUGCUGACGCUUAGUGCACUGGUCUGGUUCACAAGCGACUAACACUGAAGUUAAACAUUGUACCGUCUUUGUCAGCAAACAUUGAUCAGUCGGUUCCGGGUUAGUUUAUGCUUCAGUUUGUUGAUUAUAAAUAACCAACCAAGAUAUAUAGAAAUAUCUUGCUUCAGGGGUUGCACUGAAAUCUUUCGAGUACUUGGACAACAUCUUCAUUGCUUCCACAAUCUUGAAUACUUCAAUCUUUAUUCUUCACUGAGGCAUGAACAUAUUAAUGAACUUCUUCCAGUGAACUUAUUCCUUCAAGACUGUAGAUGGCUUCUUCAACCUUUGUCUUCGUAUCUUCCGAUUCCGGUGCAGGCGUAGUGUUAUUUACUUGUCCUGUUCUAUUGUUGAGUUAUCAUCCCUAUGUAACAGAUAGGGUUGUCUUUACAUUUAGACUUACAAUCUCCCCCUAUUUGUUUGUUAAUCAUAACAAGCAAAUCCUCUGGAGGAUAACUCAACUAACACUAGAAAAAGUAAAGUCCUGGACUAGUAAAUAAUGCUACAAAGUUUCUGGAUCAUAUAGUACAUUUCCAGAUUUCAUGAAUAGAAAUAACAAAUGUGCAUAUCACCUUUAUUUCUCUGGUCCUUUCUUACCUGCCAGAUAAUCCUCAUAGUUUGUCUUGAAGAGAAUUCAAAACAUUCCAUUAUGCAAAGAAUAAUCAGCAGAUUCAUUGAAUUCUUCAGUGGUAAUGAAUAAGUUCCUGUCUAUCACUUACUGAAGAAUAGAUGUAUCACCUUAUACUUCUCCUCCCGCUCGACAUUGUAAGUGAUAAAAUCACUUCCAAAGUCCUUAACUACCUUUACACGCUUGCUCCUUCUAGGUUCCUCAACUUCAUUAGGAGUAGAGCUACUAGCAGGAUUUGCCCCCACAUUUGUCAUCUUUUUCACAUACUUGACAUUUAGUUUUCUUAUCAAUGGCAUGCUUUGGAAUCAACUCUAAGUUCAUCAUAUUCUUUAGAGCACCAAAAUUUAAAAUGACCAAGCCUAGAGUGCCACAAAUCGGAUGAUUCAAUAUUAUUAACAGAAGGAGAAGCAAUAUCAUUAAUAAAACCGCCUAAAACAGGCUCCACAUUUAUUAAAAACAAGCCGUCUGACAAGUAGCCCUUGCCAAAAAACACACCAGUCUGAGUAAUAACUACUUUAUUACACUUUAAAGAAAGUUCAAAGCCAUUUUUAACUAAACAACUUCCACUAAUAAUAUUUCUACGAAUCUCGGGAACAUGAUGCACUCUAGUAAGGGAUAGAACACGCCCUGAAGCAAACUUCAGGUCCACGUUUCCUAUUCCACGAACUUGAGCCGCACUAGCAUUCCCCAUCGUCACUGUCAUCCCAUGAGCCUGUUGAUAAGAUACAAACAGAGUAAUAUCAGCACAAAUGUGCACAUUAGCUCCCGUAUCAAUCAACCACUCAUUAGACAGAUAAGUGGAAAAUAGUUCAGGGUUGUACUUAACAUACCCGUCAUUGGUUUCAGAAGCAACAGCCUCACCAACAACCAUGUUAAGCACAGGCCCAUCAGUGGUUCCAAGCACAGUAUUUGCUUGUGCUACCACCUCAGCUUUCUUUGCUUUCUUUACAGGACAGUCCUUACUCCAAUGACCAACCUGUCCACAAGACCAACAUGGUUUGUUGGCCUUUGAUUUCUUAGCCUUGCCCUUGUCAGUUUUGGGCUUAGUGUUCACCUUCUUAGCGACAGACUUUCUUUUCUGUCCCACAGUCACUACAUUGACCUUCGAGCUACCAGAUUCAGUUGGCAUCACAUGUCCCUGUUUGGACUUGUGCUGCUCCUGCACAGAGAUGUCCAGCAUCAGGUUAGUCCAAGUGAUCUCUCCCUUCUGCCUUUUCAGGGAGAGUGCAAACUCUUCCCAAGACUUAGGGAGUUUUUCAAUCACAGACAUAACCAAAAACUUUUCAGGAAGGUCCAUUCCGGACUCCUUCAAAGCAUGCACCAACGUCUCAAACUCAUGCACCUGCUCAGUCAUGGAUUUUGUAUCCACCAGUUUGAAGUCCAGGAACUUAGCCACAGAAUACUUUUCCAACCCUUGCGAGUCAGUAUUGUGUGUCUGAUCAAGUUUCUCCCACAAGGUCUUAGCAGUGUAGGAGUCAGAUGAGUAAACAUCGAACAGAGUGUUCGUUAAGGCUGCUAGAAUAGCAGCCCUAGCCACCCCAUCCUUUUCCUCCCACAUAGCAUAGGCCUUAAGGGUUUCAGCCUUUUCCUGUACCACAACUGGUUUCUCAUACUGCAACACCGGCCAUAGACCCUUAACCGUAAGCCACAGUUUCAUCUUUUUCUGCCAACGAGAAAAAGAAACUCCCCCACCGAAUUUAUCAGGAAUACCUGAUAAAUCAAUGGGCUGUGGAAAACGAUACGUAGUCCAAUCGAUGUUACUAGUAACACCAGACCCAGAACCAGCACCACCACCAACAACAGAAUCCGCAAUCUCAUUAACCAUCUUGCUUACUACACAAUAUAACAGAUAAUCACUUCAAGAUUGUUGGGAGUCACAGUGAAAAUCACAGCAACAAUGUAUAGAGCAGUUAUAUUAUAUAAACAAGUGUAGGCCAACGAAACCACAACAAUAUAGCAUGCACGAAGAUCGUAUAUACAAUAAUCAGUGACUGAUAAAUUACAAGAAAAGAAGAGAAAGGCGCACCUUACACCGUCGCUAGAAUUAGUAUACAGAACAGCUGAGUCGCCUAGCCCUUCGAUGAAGACUAGACUGUUCUUGAAGUGAUUAUUGCCCCACUACGCUGUGAUGGGUAGUCGCAAUAUCGCUCCCAGGAUAAAACAGCACAGACCGAACCGCUCACAGACACGAGUACGAUCAACAGCGAUCAACACCUCAGUUCGCCCGAGAACAGUAUGUAUAUGUGUAUAUAUCGGAGUAGAUGGUGAGAGUGUAAGAGAGAAGAAUGAGAAUGGUGUUUGUGUUUUUCCCGUGCUACAACUCAAGUGUCGAGGCUCACUAUUUAUAGUGAGGCCAAGGCACCAACACACUGUCCAGAUUCAUUUGUCCAGGUUCAAUGAAUCUGUAUCUGUCAGACAUUCUGACCAGAUUCAUUUGUCCAGGUUCAAUGAAUCUGUAUCUGUCAGACAUUCUGACCAGAUUCAUUUGUCCAGGUUCAAUGAAUCUGUAUCUGUCAGACAUUCUGACCAGAUUCAUUUGUCCAGGUUCAAUGAAUCUGUAUCUGUCAGACAUUCUGACCAGAUUCAUUUGUCCAGGUUCAAUGAAUCUGUAUCUGUCAGACAUUCUGACCAGAUUCAUUUGUCCAGGUUCAAUGAAUCUGUAUCUGUCAGACAUUCUGACCAGAUUCAUUUGUCCAGGUUCAAUGAAUCUGUAUCUGUCAGAUAUACUGACCAGAUUCAUUUGUCCAGAUUCAAUGAAUCUGUAUCUGUCAGAUAUACUGACCAGAUUCAUUUGUCCAGAUUCAAUGAAUCUGUAUCUAUCAGAUAUACUGACCAGAUUCAUUUGUCCAGAUUAAAUGAAUCACAUUCUCAUUUCAAGCUCUUUCAAGCCACUGUAUUCAACUCUAUUUCUCAAUGGAUUUCACUAAGAAAAUGUCCCGGAAAUUACAUCAAGAACAUAUUAAAAAAUAUGCUUUAAACUUUCCAUUUUCUAACAAUCCCCCACAAAUCCAUAUAGAUAUGCAUAUUAGUCCUCAUCAUGACUUGUUUUUCAGAGUAGGUACCCUUCCGGGUUUGAACCCUCCUAAGUCCCCUACUUCGAUGGCUACCGGAUAUAGAUGGAUUGUUUCACCUUGAAUCUCUAUCCGUUGGGUGUAACCACACUCCAUAGACGACGACAAGUCAAAGGCUAUGGUGCCGAUCUACGGCUUUGAGACAUUAAUGGUCGUGUCUCGAUCCUGUUCGUCGAAUGUUUCAAGGAAUAACCCUUUCCUCUAAUUGCGACCUCACAAUUACAUUCGCUUAGCUGGGCAUCUCCAGAGAUGUACUGCAACCAUCUCGUCAAAUGACUUGACCCCAUUCAGAGUUCUAAAAACUCUUGCUAUACUUGCAGUGUCAGUACCUUUUAGGUUUGCAGGGGAUAGACUCAGAUGCAUAAGUAUCUACAUUGUAGUUAAAGGUACUACCGAUCCACCCUUACAGCUUGUUUACCACAUUGAAUACACUUUGAGGGAUCUCCUCUCAGAUGUAUUGGGUUCCCGCUGUAGAUGAAUCAUGAUGGGUUAUCAGUCCCAUCCCCAACCUUGACUUAAGGACAACAGCAUGCUCAAGCCCUUUAGUCAGUGGAUCAGCUAUGUUAUCUUGAGUUCCAAUGAACUCAAUAGCAAUAGUCCGAUCAGACACCAAACCCCUUAUAGACUUAAGUCUAACUUGGAUGUGUCUCUUUGUUUUAGCAUUAUACUUGACACUUCUGAUCUUGUCGAUAGUUGUACGGCUAUCACAAUGAACAGAAAUUGCCGGUAGCGGACGACUUACUACAGGUAACACAGACAUGAGUCCAUGUAACCAUUCAGCCUCCGUACCCGUGGCAUCCAAUGCACACAACUCGGCCUCAAACGUAGACCGAGUUACUAUAGUCUGUCUAGUCGACUUCCAGGAUACUGCUCCACCCGCAAGGGUAAACAGAUAUCCAGUCACUCCAUUGGAACCAGACUUCUUAGCUAUCCAACUUGCAUCACUAUAUCCCUCAAGCACACUCGGAUAUCUCCUGUAGUGCAACCCAAGAUAUAUGGUGCCUUUCAGAUAUCUAAGUACUCUAUCUAGAGCAUCCCAAUGAGUUCUGUUUGGACAGCUUGUAUAUCUUGCUAACUUAGACACAGAAUAUGUUAUAUCUGGUCUAGUACCAUUAGCAAGAUAUUGCAAACUACCAAUAAUCUGAGAAUAUCUUAACUGAGACACAGGUACACCUGAAGCAUUCUUGAUAAGAGCAACUUUAGGAUCAUAUGGUGUACUAGCAAUUCUACAAUUUGAAUAACCAUACUUCUCAAGUAUAGAUUUCUCUAUAUAAUGAGAUUGUGACAAGGUUAUUCCCUCAGUUGACUGAGUCAACUUGAGUCCAAGAAUCACAUUCGCCUCACCCAUGUCCUUCAUUUCAAAGUGUUUUUUCAAGAAAUUCUUUGUCUCGUUAAUAAUCUCAAUAUUGGUUCCAAACAGUAGUAUAUCAUCCACAUACAAGCACAACACAAUAUGUUCAUUUCCUUUAACCUUAUAGUAGACACACUUGUCAUUAUCAUUAACUAUAAAAUCAAAAGUCAAAACAGUGUCAUCAAACUUUUUGUGCCAGUCUCUAGGUGCUUGUUUCAAGCCGUAGAUGGAUUUGACUAACUUACAUACUUUGCUCUCAUUGCCAGAUGCAACAAAUCCCUCAGGCUGAUCCAUAUAAAUCUCUUCUUCAAGAUCACCAUGAAGAAAAGCUGUCUUUACAUCCAUUUGAUGGAUGAUAAGACCAUGUACGGAAGCCAAUGCUACAAGCAUUCGGAUCGUUGUCAAUCUUGCAACAGGAGAGUAUGUAUCAAAGUAGUCAAUACCUUCUCUUUGCCUAAAACCUUUAGCAACCAAUCUAGCUUUAUACUUAUCUAUUGAGCCAUCUGGUUUCAUCUUCCUUUUGAAGAUCCACCUACAUCCUAUAGUAGAACACCCAGGAGGGAGGUCAACCAACUCCCAUGUUCCGUUAGAAACAAUAGAGUCAAUUUCACUCUUCACAGCGCCUUUCCAGUGCCUAGAUUCCGAAGAAUCCAUGGCUUGUCGGAAAGUCAAAGGUUCGUCCUCGACAUUGUAAGUGAUAAAAUCACUUCCAAAGUCCUUAACUACCUUUGCACGCUUGCUCCUUCUAGGUUCCUCAACUUCAUUAGGAGUAGAGCUACUAGUAGGAUCUGCCCCCACAUUUGUCAUCUUUUCCACAUGAUCGGGAAUAGAACUAGAUGUGUGAGUAGGAUCAUCACUAGAAGAACUUUGAGGUAUACCAGUCUUCAUAGGGAACACAUCCUCAAAGAAUGUUGCAUCACGAAACUCAACUAUCGUGUUUGCCACUAUACCAUCUAUGUCAGAUUUUAAUACUAAAAAUCUCAUAGCUGUAGUGGUUUCGAGAUAGCCCAGAAAGAUACAAUCAACAGUUUUCGGCCCUAGUUUCUUUCUCUUGUGUUCAGGGACAAGUACCUUCGCAAGGCACCCCCACACACGAAGAUACUUUAGACUAGUUUUCCUGCCUUUCCAUAAUUCGUAAGGUGUCUUGUCCAUAUGUUUCAGAGGGACUCUAUUCAGAAUAUGGCAAGCCGUAUUCAGAGCCUCCCCCCACAUGUACUUAGGCAACCCCGAAUUAAUCAACAUACUGUUAAUCAUAUCUUUAAAAGUUCUGUUCUUUCGUUCUGCCACCCCAUUAGACUCAGGUGUAUAUGGUGGAGUCACCUCAUGAAUUAUACCAUUGCUCUUGCAAAAUUCAUUAAAGGUGUUUCCCGUAUAUUCACCACCUCUAUCAGAUCUCAAACGUUUAAGUACUUUACCAGUUUGUGUUUCAACUUCAGUUUUAAAUCUAAUGAAUUUUUCAAGUGCUUCAUCUUUAUGUUUAAGCAAAUAAACAUAACAAUAUCUACUACAAUCAUCUAUAAAGGUAAUGAAAUAUCUACAGUGUUCCUUAGUCAACACACCACCAAAUUCACAUAUGUCCGAGUGCACUAAAUCUAACAAGUCAGAAUCCCUAACCACACUAUGAAAAGGUUUCCUUGUUAGUUUAGCUGUCACACAUACUUGACAUUUAGUUUUCUUAUCAAUGGCAUGCUUUGGAAUCAACUCUAAGUUCAUCAUAUUCUUUAGAGCACCAAAAUUUAAAUGACCAAGCCUAGAGUGCCACAAAUCGGAUGAUUCAAUAUUAUUAACAGAAGGAGAAGCAAUAUCAUUAAUAAAACCGCCUAAAACAGGCUCCACAUUUAUUAAAAACAAGCCGUCUGACAAGUAGCCCUUGCCAAAAAACACACCAGUCUGAGUAAUAACUACUUUAUUACACUUUAAAGAAAGUUCAAAGCCAUUUUUAACUAAACAACUUCCACUAAUAAUAUUUCUACGAAUCUCGGGAACAUGAUGCACUCUAGUAAGGGAUAGAACACGCCCUGAAGCAAACUUCAGGUCCACGUUUCCUAUUCCACGAACUUGAGCCGCACUAGCAUUCCCCAUCGUCACUGUCAUCCCAUGAGCCUGUUGAUAAGAUACAAACAGAGUAAUAUCAGCACAAAUGUGCACAUUAGCUCCCGUAUCAAUCAACCACUCAUUAGACAGAUAAGUGGAAAAUAGUUCAGGGUUGUACUUAACAUACCCGUCAUUGGUUUCAGAAGCAACAGCCUCACCAACAACCAUGUUAAGCACAGGCCCAUCAGUGGUUCCAAGCACAGUAUUUGCUUGUGCUACCACCUCAGCUUUCUUUGCUUUCUUUACAGGACAGUCCUUACUCCAAUGACCAACCUGUCCACAAGACCAACAUGGUUUGUUGGCCUUUGAUUUCUUAGCCUUGCCCUUGUCAGUUUUGGGCUUAGUGUUCACCUUCUUAGCGACAGACUUUCUUUUCUGUCCCACAGUCACUACAUUGACCUUCGAGCUACCAGAUUCAGUUGGCAUCACAUGUCCCUGUUUGGACUUGUGCUGCUCCUGCACAGAGAUGUCCAGCAUCAGGUUAGUCCAAGUGAUCUCUCCCUUCUGCCUUUUCAGGGAGAGUGCAAACUCUUCCCAAGACUUAGGGAGUUUUUCAAUCACAGACAUAACCAAAAACUUUUCAGGAAGGUCCAUUCCGGACUCCUUCAAAGCAUGCACCAACGUCUCAAACUCAUGCACCUGCUCAGUCAUGGAUUUUGUAUCCACCAGUUUGAAGUCCAGGAACUUAGCCACAGAAUACUUUUCCAACCCUUGCGAGUCAGUAUUGUGUGUCUGAUCAAGUUUCUCCCACAAGGUCUUAGCAGUGUAGGAGUCAGAUGAGUAAACAUCGAACAGAGUGUUCGUUAAGGCUGCUAGAAUAGCAGCCCUAGCCACCCCAUCCUUUUCCUCCCACAUAGCAUAGGCCUUAAGGGUUUCAGCCUUUUCCUGUACCACAACUGGUUUCUCAUACUGCAACACCGGCCAUAGACCCUUAACCGUAAGCCACAGUUUCAUCUUUUUCUGCCAACGAGAAAAAGAAACUCCCCCACCGAAUUUAUCAGGAAUACCUGAUAAAUCAAUGGGCUGUGGAAAACGAUACGUAGUCCAAUCGAUGUUACUAGUAACACCAGACCCAGAACCAGCACCACCACCAACAACAGAAUCCGCAAUCUCAUUAACCAUCUUGCUUACUACACAAUAUAACAGAUAAUCACUUCAAGAUUGUUGGGAGUCACAGUGAAAAUCACAGCAACAAUGUAUAGAGCAGUUAUAUUAUAUAAACAAGUGUAGGCCAACGAAACCACAACAAUAUAGCAUGCACGAAGAUCGUAUAUACAAUAAUCAGUGACUGAUAAAUUACAAGAAAAGAAGAGAAAGGCGCACCUUACACCGUCGCUAGAAUUAGUAUACAGAACAGCUGAGUCGCCUAGCCCUUCGAUGAAGACUAGACUGUUCUUGAAGUGAUUAUUGCCCCACUACGCUGUGAUGGGUAGUCGCAAUAUCGCUCCCAGGAUAAAACAGCACAGACCGAACCGCUCACAGACACGAGUACGAUCAACAGCGAUCAACACCUCAGUUCGCCCGAGAACAGUAUGUAUAUGUGUAUAUAUCGGAGUAGAUGGUGAGAGUGUAAGAGAGAAGAAUGAGAAUGGUGUUUGUGUUUUUCCCGUGCUACAACUCAAGUGUCGAGGCUCACUAUUUAUAGUGAGGCCAAGGCACCAACACACUGUCCAGAUUCAUUUGUCCAGGUUCAAUGAAUCUGUAUCUGUCAGACAUUCUGACCAGAUUCAUUUGUCCAGGUUCAAUGAAUCUGUAUCUGUCAGACAUUCUGACCAGAUUCAUUUGUCCAGGUUCAAUGAAUCUGUAUCUGUCAGACAUUCUGACCAGAUUCAUUUGUCCAGGUUCAAUGAAUCUGUAUCUGUCAGACAUUCUGACCAGAUUCAUUUGUCCAGGUUCAAUGAAUCUGUAUCUGUCAGACAUUCUGACCAGAUUCAUUUGUCCAGGUUCAAUGAAUCUGUAUCUGUCAGACAUUCUGACCAGAUUCAUUUGUCCAGGUUCAAUGAAUCUGUAUCUGUCAGAUAUACUGACCAGAUUCAUUUGUCCAGAUUCAAUGAAUCUGUAUCUGUCAGAUAUACUGACCAGAUUCAUUUGUCCAGAUUCAAUGAAUCUGUAUCUAUCAGAUAUACUGACCAGAUUCAUUUGUCCAGAUUAAAUGAAUCACAUUCUCAUUUCAAGCUCUUUCAAGCCACUGUAUUCAACUCUAUUUCUCAAUGGAUUUCACUAAGAAAAUGUCCCGGAAAUUACAUCAAGAACAUAUUAAAAAAUAUGCUUUAAACUUUCCAUUUUCUAACAAUCCCCCACAAAUCCAUAUAGAUAUGCAUAUUAGUCCUCAUCAUGACUUGUUUUUCAGAGUAGGUACCCUUCCGGGUUUGAACCCUCCUAAGUCCCCUACUUCGAUGGCUACCGGAUAUAGAUGGAUUGUUUCACCUUGAAUCUCUAUCCGUUGGGUGUAACCACACUCCAUAGACGACGACAAGUCAAAGGCUAUGGUGCCGAUCUACGGCUUUGAGACAUUAAUGGUCGUGUCUCGAUCCUGUUCGUCGAAUGUUUCAAGGAAUAACCCUUUCCUCUAAUUGCGACCUCACAAUUACAUUCGCUUAGCUGGGCAUCUCCAGAGAUGUACUGCAACCAUCUCGUCAAAUGACUUGACCCCAUUCAGAGUUCUAAAAACUCUUGCUAUACUUGCAGUGUCAGUACCUUUUAGGUUUGCAGGGGAUAGACUCAGAUGCAUAAGUAUCUACAUUGUAGUUAAAGGUACUACCGAUCCACCCUUACAGCUUGUUUACCACAUUGAAUACACUUUGAGGGAUCUCCUCUCAGAUGUAUUGGGUUCCCGCUGUAGAUGAAUCAUGAUGGGUUAUCAGUCCCAUCCCCAACCUUGACUUAAGGACAACAGCAUGCUCAAGCCCUUUAGUCAGUGGAUCAGCUAUGUUAUCUUGAGUUCCAAUGAACUCAAUAGCAAUAGUCCGAUCAGACACCAAACCCCUUAUAGACUUAAGUCUAACUUGGAUGUGUCUCUUUGUUUUAGCAUUAUACUUGACACUUCUGAUCUUGUCGAUAGUUGUACGGCUAUCACAAUGAACAGAAAUUGCCGGUAGCGGACGACUUACUACAGGUAACACAGACAUGAGUCCAUGUAACCAUUCAGCCUCCGUACCCGUGGCAUCCAAUGCACACAACUCGGCCUCAAACGUAGACCGAGUUACUAUAGUCUGUCUAGUCGACUUCCAGGAUACUGCUCCACCCGCAAGGGUAAACAGAUAUCCAGUCACUCCAUUGGAACCAGACUUCUUAGCUAUCCAACUUGCAUCACUAUAUCCCUCAAGCACACUCGGAUAUCUCCUGUAGUGCAACCCAAGAUAUAUGGUGCCUUUCAGAUAUCUAAGUACUCUAUCUAGAGCAUCCCAAUGAGUUCUGUUUGGACAGCUUGUAUAUCUUGCUAACUUAGACACAGAAUAUGUUAUAUCUGGUCUAGUACCAUUAGCAAGAUAUUGCAAACUACCAAUAAUCUGAGAAUAUCUUAACUGAGACACAGGUACACCUGAAGCAUUCUUGAUAAGAGCAACUUUAGGAUCAUAUGGUGUACUAGCAAUUCUACAAUUUGAAUAACCAUACUUCUCAAGUAUAGAUUUCUCUAUAUAAUGAGAUUGUGACAAGGUUAUUCCCUCAGUUGACUGAGUCAACUUGAGUCCAAGAAUCACAUUCGCCUCACCCAUGUCCUUCAUUUCAAAGUGUUUUUUCAAGAAAUUCUUUGUCUCGUUAAUAAUCUCAAUAUUGGUUCCAAACAGUAGUAUAUCAUCCACAUACAAGCACAACACAAUAUGUUCAUUUCCUUUAACCUUAUAGUAGACACACUUGUCAUUAUCAUUAACUAUAAAAUCAAAAGUCAAAACAGUGUCAUCAAACUUUUUGUGCCAGUCUCUAGGUGCUUGUUUCAAGCCGUAGAUGGAUUUGACUAACUUACAUACUUUGCUCUCAUUGCCAGAUGCAACAAAUCCCUCAGGCUGAUCCAUAUAAAUCUCUUCUUCAAGAUCACCAUGAAGAAAAGCUGUCUUUACAUCCAUUUGAUGGAUGAUAAGACCAUGUACGGAAGCCAAUGCUACAAGCAUUCGGAUCGUUGUCAAUCUUGCAACAGGAGAGUAUGUAUCAAAGUAGUCAAUACCUUCUCUUUGCCUAAAACCUUUAGCAACCAAUCUAGCUUUAUACUUAUCUAUUGAGCCAUCUGGUUUCAUCUUCCUUUUGAAGAUCCACCUACAUCCUAUAGUAGAACACCCAGGAGGGAGGUCAACCAACUCCCAUGUUCCGUUAGAAACAAUAGAGUCAAUUUCACUCUUCACAGCGCCUUUCCAGUGCCUAGAUUCCGAAGAAUCCAUGGCUUGUCGGAAAGUCAAAGGUUCGUCCUCGACAUUGUAAGUGAUAAAAUCACUUCCAAAGUCCUUAACUACCUUUGCACGCUUGCUCCUUCUAGGUUCCUCAACUUCAUUAGGAGUAGAGCUACUAGUAGGAUCUGCCCCCACAUUUGUCAUCUUUUCCACAUGAUCGGGAAUAGAACUAGAUGUGUGAGUAGGAUCAUCACUAGAAGAACUUUGAGGUAUACCAGUCUUCAUAGGGAACACAUCCUCAAAGAAUGUUGCAUCACGAAACUCAACUAUCGUGUUUGCCACUAUACCAUCUAUGUCAGAUUUUAAUACUAAAAAUCUCAUAGCUGUAGUGGUUUCGAGAUAGCCCAGAAAGAUACAAUCAACAGUUUUCGGCCCUAGUUUCUUUCUCUUGUGUUCAGGGACAAGUACCUUCGCAAGGCACCCCCACACACGAAGAUACUUUAGACUAGUUUUCCUGCCUUUCCAUAAUUCGUAAGGUGUCUUGUCCAUAUGUUUCAGAGGGACUCUAUUCAGAAUAUGGCAAGCCGUAUUCAGAGCCUCCCCCCACAUGUACUUAGGCAACCCCGAAUUAAUCAACAUACUGUUAAUCAUAUCUUUAAAAGUUCUGUUCUUUCGUUCUGCCACCCCAUUAGACUCAGGUGUAUAUGGUGGAGUCACCUCAUGAAUUAUACCAUUGCUCUUGCAAAAUUCAUUAAAGGUGUUUCCCGUAUAUUCACCACCUCUAUCAGAUCUCAAACGUUUAAGUACUUUACCAGUUUGUGUUUCAACUUCAGUUUUAAAUCUAAUGAAUUUUUCAAGUGCUUCAUCUUUAUGUUUAAGCAAAUAAACAUAACAAUAUCUACUACAAUCAUCUAUAAAGGUAAUGAAAUAUCUACAGUGUUCCUUAGUCAACACACCACCAAAUUCACAUAUGUCCGAGUGCACUAAAUCUAACAAGUCAGAAUCCCUAACCACACUAUGAAAAGGUUUCCUUGUUAGUUUAGCUGUCACACAUACUUGACAUUUAGUUUUCUUAUCAAUGGCAUGCUUUGGAAUCAACUCUAAGUUCAUCAUAUUCUUUAGAGCACCAAAAUUUAAAUGACCAAGCCUAGAGUGCCACAAAUCGGAUGAUUCAAUAUUAUUAACAGAAGGAGAAGCAAUAUCAUUAAUAAAACCGCCUAAAACAGGCUCCACAUUUAUUAAAAACAAGCCGUCUGACAAGUAGCCCUUGCCAAAAAACACACCAGUCUGAGUAAUAACUACUUUAUUACACUUUAAAGAAAGUUCAAAGCCAUUUUUAACUAAACAACUUCCACUAAUAAUAUUUCUACGAAUCUCGGGAACAUGAUGCACUCUAGUAAGGGAUAGAACACGCCCUGAAGCAAACUUCAGGUCCACGUUUCCUAUUCCACGAACUUGAGCCGCACUAGCAUUCCCCAUCGUCACUGUCAUCCCAUGAGCCUGUUGAUAAGAUACAAACAGAGUAAUAUCAGCACAAAUGUGCACAUUAGCUCCCGUAUCAAUCAACCACUCAUUAGACAGAUAAGUGGAAAAUAGUUCAGGGUUGUACUUAACAUACCCGUCAUUGGUUUCAGAAGCAACAGCCUCACCAACAACCAUGUUAAGCACAGGCCCAUCAGUGGUUCCAAGCACAGUAUUUGCUUGUGCUACCACCUCAGCUUUCUUUGCUUUCUUUACAGGACAGUCCUUACUCCAAUGACCAACCUGUCCACAAGACCAACAUGGUUUGUUGGCCUUUGAUUUCUUAGCCUUGCCCUUGUCAGUUUUGGGCUUAGUGUUCACCUUCUUAGCGACAGACUUUCUUUUCUGUCCCACAGUCACUACAUUGACCUUCGAGCUACCAGAUUCAGUUGGCAUCACAUGUCCCUGUUUGGACUUGUGCUGCUCCUGCACAGAGAUGUCCAGCAUCAGGUUAGUCCAAGUGAUCUCUCCCUUCUGCCUUUUCAGGGAGAGUGCAAACUCUUCCCAAGACUUAGGGAGUUUUUCAAUCACAGACAUAACCAAAAACUUUUCAGGAAGGUCCAUUCCGGACUCCUUCAAAGCAUGCACCAACGUCUCAAACUCAUGCACCUGCUCAGUCAUGGAUUUUGUAUCCACCAGUUUGAAGUCCAGGAACUUAGCCACAGAAUACUUUUCCAACCCUUGCGAGUCAGUAUUGUGUGUCUGAUCAAGUUUCUCCCACAAGGUCUUAGCAGUGUAGGAGUCAGAUGAGUAAACAUCGAACAGAGUGUUCGUUAAGGCUGCUAGAAUAGCAGCCCUAGCCACCCCAUCCUUUUCCUCCCACAUAGCAUAGGCCUUAAGGGUUUCAGCCUUUUCCUGUACCACAACUGGUUUCUCAUACUGCAACACCGGCCAUAGACCCUUAACCGUAAGCCACAGUUUCAUCUUUUUCUGCCAACGAGAAAAAGAAACUCCCCCACCGAAUUUAUCAGGAAUACCUGAUAAAUCAAUGGGCUGUGGAAAACGAUACGUAGUCCAAUCGAUGUUACUAGUAACACCAGACCCAGAACCAGCACCACCACCAACAACAGAAUCCGCAAUCUCAUUAACCAUCUUGCUUACUACACAAUAUAACAGAUAAUCACUUCAAGAUUGUUGGGAGUCACAGUGAAAAUCACAGCAACAAUGUAUAGAGCAGUUAUAUUAUAUAAACAAGUGUAGGCCAACGAAACCACAACAAUAUAGCAUGCACGAAGAUCGUAUAUACAAUAAUCAGUGACUGAUAAAUUACAAGAAAAGAAGAGAAAGGCGCACCUUACACCGUCGCUAGAAUUAGUAUACAGAACAGCUGAGUCGCCUAGCCCUUCGAUGAAGACUAGACUGUUCUUGAAGUGAUUAUUGCCCCACUACGCUGUGAUGGGUAGUCGCAAUAUCGCUCCCAGGAUAAAACAGCACAGACCGAACCGCUCACAGACACGAGUACGAUCAACAGCGAUCAACACCUCAGUUCGCCCGAGAACAGUAUGUAUAUGUGUAUAUAUCGGAGUAGAUGGUGAGAGUGUAAGAGAGAAGAAUGAGAAUGGUGUUUGUGUUUUUCCCGUGCUCCAACUCAAGUGUCGAGGCUCACUAUUUAUAGUGAGGCCAAGGCACCAACACACCGUCCAGAUUCAUCUGUCCAGGUUCAAUGAAUCUGUAUCUGUCAGACAUUCUGACCAGAUUCAUUUGUCCAGGUUCAAUGAAUCUGUAUCUGUCAGACAUUCUGACCAGAUUCAUUUGUCCAGGUUCAAUGAAUCUGUAUCUGUCAGACAUUCUGACCAGAUUCAUUUGUCCAGGUUCAAUGAAUCUGUAUCUGUCAGACAUACUGACCAGAUUCAUUUGUCCAGGUUCAAUGAAUCUGUAUCUGUCAGAUAUACUGACCAGAUUCAUUUGUCCAGGUUCAAUGAAUCUGUAUCUGUCAGAUAUACUGACCAGAUUCAUUUGUCCAGAUUCAAUGAAUCUGUAUCUGUCAGAUAUACUGACCAGAUUCAUUUGUCCAGAUUCAAUGAAUCUGUAUCUGUCAGAUAUACUGACCAGAUUCAUUUGUCCAGAUUCAAUGAAUCUGUAUCUAUCAGAUAUACUGACCAGAUUCAUUUGUCCAGAUUAAAUGAAUCACAUUCUCAUUUCAAGCUCUUUCAAGCCACUGUAUUCAACUCUAUUUCUCAAUGGAUUUCACUAAGAAAAUGUCCCGGAAAUUACAUCAAGAACAUAUUAAAAAAUAUGCUUUAAACUUUCCAUUUUCUAACAUUUAGUUGUCAAGAAUAUUGGUGUAUCAACUUAGGGCAUUGCUCAAAAAAAAUUUGCCAUCUUAAAUUAAUUUGACAUAGAAAUUUUAUGUAACUUACCGUCGGGAAGGGUGAUAAUUCUGAUGGUUCCAGGUCCACCAUCUCCUUUAACAUCGACACUCUUGUAAGCUCCGGGAGCAGCCUUGGGGAUAACUGUAUCAACAUCAAGGACUAUAGCCUGGAAUAUUUUUUCUGCUGACACGGACGAACUGAUCUCGAGUACAUGGCUCUGGGCACCCAUGACUAUCGAAAAAUGAUCACUGAAAAUAAGUUGCAGAAAGAGAGCUAAAGGAAUUAGGCUGUAAGACUAAUGUGAUGAUAGUAGAACACGAAGAACACCUAUUUAUAGUGCGAGAACAUGAGCGCUGAGACGUUGAUAAUUUGUAUUAAUAUGAUAGUGCAUGGUUUAUUCUUAUCCUCAACGUAAUUAAAAAAUCUAUUUAAAAAACAAUACCAAUCGACAGACAAAAAGUUAGUGCAAUGUUUGUUAAAAAUUAAAAAGUUAAAUUCUAGAAACCAUUUGCUAUCUUUAGUUUCAAAGGUCAAUUAAUGUGCACCGGGUGAAUAAUGUUAAGUAAUCCAACAUGGGUAGAAGGUUGUCGUGUCGUGUAUUUUGUAAAAAUACUAAUUUGUUUUAUGUUUUGUAAUGAGUUUUAAAUGUAAACACAAUAUCAUUUAUCGUUUUCUUUUUCAAAAAUCAAUAUGUCAAAUUAUCUGAUAUCUAUUCCAGGCUGUAGCAGUGGCAUCCAUGUGUAUCCAAGAGGAGGGUGCUGCCCGUCCACCAAUCCGUAAUGUGGUAGCUGCCUUGUCUAAUCUUGCGAACCACGCUUAUGAGCUAAUUAGCUCAGCAACUGGACAGGACUCCAGGGAAUGUGAAAAUAGAGGUGAUGAAAUUACAGAGGCAGUCUAGAUUCUUUAAGACUGAUGCUGGGGCGUAUCAGGUCCCAAAUGGGACUUAGAAGGUUUUGGAAAGAAUUGUUAGAAAAUCCUGCAGGACCGCAACUUGUUUGAGGGUAAUGAUAAAAGAUCUCAGAUAAUUUGGAGAUUAGAUUCUAAGCCACGGGUCGUAAAAUCGUUUCCAGGACAACUGAGCAAAGAUGUCUCAAACACUCAAGUAAGACCUUCCCAAACGUAAUAUUUCUAUUUGUGCAUGGAUGAUUUCACCAGUGCCAUGUUUUUUGCUGGAGGUUAAAUUACCCGGUAACUCAAGUUUCUUGAACAUAUAUUUGUGUUCUGACAAAUAUAAAGAUACGACUACAUUAUUAGUUGUAUAGGUGAAUAAAUAGAUCAGAAGUCAUAACUUACAUAGAUAGACCGUAGGGGAUCUGGAAUCAAGUUGGGGGUUGGGACUUGGGGGAUAGAUCUUGAAUCUUAAUCCAAGUUAAAAAAGGUAAGAAAUCUUGAAACGAAUUAAUUAUGUUAAAACACACUACUUAGCAUUUGUGGAAAAAUUCAUAAAUUAUACGCAUUGGACCCUAAUCCCGGACACUCUCGGUGGGCCUGCCAGGCUGCCACUGAUAUUUUCCAGAAUAAAAAAAGCUUCGAUGCAACUUUAUCGGUGAGUCAUCGGUGAAUAGGAAUUAAUUGGAUAUUAAUUAAGUUAUUAGUGAGAAUUAAUCAAUUUAUCGAAUAAUGAAUAGGGUGUUUGGAACGACGACUUCUGGGCUUAGAAGCUCAGAAGCCCGUUUCAACUUUUUGUGGUAUGUUUGGCAACCGUCCUGAAGUGGUUAAUCAAACCAAAAAAAGCUCAGAAAAAAAGCUUCGUUGCCUAGCUUUUUCUUCAUACUUGGCUUUUUCUCAAUACUCAGCUUUUUCCUUUCACUGGCGCUAGAUUACGAUGCAUUAGUAUUUAGUCUAAAAGUAAUUCGCUGCAAGCUAGUAAUUGCUAUCGUUUUUGUCCAAUAAUUUUUUUAUUUUAACUAGUUGAGAAUCCGCGCGUUGCGGCGGCCUAUAAAAAUUAUAUUAAUGAUCCAAUAUUAAUAUUUAUAGAAUAAAAUAAUUUUAUGACUGUCUAUAAAAAGUAUAUUAAUGUUUCAAGUUAAUAUUUGUACGAUUAAAUAAAUUUAUAUUAUAAAAUUCUCGAUGUAAUACAAAUACUAAUAUAUAAAAUUGCAAAAUUGGACUAUAAUUCAUGGUGAAAAAAUGACAAUAAAUUUAUACACGUAAAUAACAAUUUAAAGCGUGACGAAUCUUAAAAUUUUAUUUUUUUUUUGGAAAAGUAAUCAUGUUCUUACAUUGUCACCUUCCUCUAAUUUUUUUAGAUUGAUUGUGCACAAAAACAUUUAACUUAAAUAUAACUACCCUCUUAAAAGUUGCUUGAACGGAGCAAACAUAUAAUGCAUGAAUAAUUUUUUCAUGUAUACAAAGUAAAUAAUAUAAAAAUUAACAACAACAAACAUGUCCGAUGAACAAAACAAAUAUUAUAAAAGAAUAACCAACAAACAUACAUCAUUAAUAGUUAAUUAAUUGACAUCAACCAUCGAUAUCCUAUCAAGACUAUAUUCUUUCCCCGUGUUUGGAUUUGUCGACUCCAAUAUAACGGUCUAUAACUACAUUUGCUUGCAACAACCUUCACUGUAACAGCCUUCACUUAUCGUUGCAGAAUAACGACACCUCCGAGUUAAAAAUCGAGCAAGAGAAAGGUAUUUUCAAUUUUUGAUAUUUUUCAUCCAAUAAUUUCAGAAAAUUAAAAAAUAAAACGGAGCGAUGUGAGAGGCACCACCUACACGCCCCUCGCUUCUCCUUUAAAAAUCGAGUAAGAGAACUAUCGGGUAGAUUUGUGGUAUUGAGAGAGGAGGUUGUGUUUUGAUGAUCCAAAAUAUUACGAUCUAUACGGGUAUUUAUAGGUGGAGAGAGACUUGUUUGCUACUCUUUCCCAUAAUUAAAUAAUCUGCACAAAAUCAGAUUAAAAUUUUCAAGCUACUAUAUUCCAUAAAUAAUCUGUCUUUCCCAUAAUUGAAUAAUCUGAAACAAAAUCAUAUUAAAACUUUCAAGAUACUAUAUUCCAUAAAUAAUCUGAAACAAAAUUGAAACAAAAUCAGAUUCUGAAACUUGCUUCUAAUAUACCCGAAACUAAAAAAGGUAGUUCUAAUUUUUAAUAUUUUUCAUCCAAAAAUUUCAAAAAAUUAGAAAAAUAAAACAGAGCGAUGUGAGAGGCGCCACCUACACGCCCCUCGUUUCUCCUUUAUAUAAGUAUAUUGAUUUUUCCUAAACUAUUUCAUAUAUUAAUAAUAAAAGAUACCUUUUUACUUGUAUUAAAUGAAUAUAAGUUUUAAAUAAAGGAUUUAUCUUUUUACUUGUAUUAUCAGCAGUUAUUAUUUUUUUUAAUUAGUGCGGAGUUUAAAAUUUUGUAUUUAUAAAUCUUUCAUGUAUUAAUAAUAAAAGGUCUUAUAUUAUAAUAAUUUAUUUUUUAAAAGAAACAAAUUAUUAUAUUACAAAAUUACGAAACUAUACCAACUUAUAAGUUAUGUUAUCCAAACACUUAAAAAAUUAUAAGCCACGGUAUCCAAACACUUUUAAUAGCUUAUAAGUCCAGACCAACUUCUCACUUAUAAUCCACUUCUUUACUUUAAGCAAUAAGUUACUUCUUUUAAGCCCAGCCAAACGCCCAUUAACCGAAAUUAUAAGCUCACCAUCAAUCUUAUCUUCUUCUUUUUUUUGACAGAAACAUCUAUCUUAUCUAAUAUUAUAAAAAAAAAAAAAAAGCAUUGGUGAACAUGAAUUAAUCGAUUAAAGAUGUUUUAUGAUCGUGUUUGCAUGGUCUUAAAUUCAGGUUUUAAGGUCAUUUUGACUUUGAAUUUGAAAAAAAAAUCGUUUAGUGAGUCCGAAGUCAAUUUAAAGUCAGAAAUUGAUUUAAAACUAAAAAUUAAUUAAAAUUAUUUUUUCAGCGAUUCAAUUUUUUCAACCUGUUUUGAUAAAAUUUAUCCAUAGACACAUAAGUUACUUAGAAUUUAUUUUUAUUUUUAUUUUUAUAAUUCCUAAACUAUUAAUAUGUUAAAAUUAUCUAAAUAAUAUUUUAAAAUUUCAAUUUAUCACGACGUGAAAUUAGAAUUCGCAAUUGUGCCAAAUGCCUUUACAUGAGAAAUGUAUAGACAUGUAUAAAUGGUUUAUGGUUAGUGAAAGUUCUAAGAAAGAGUCCUUUAAUAGGUUAAACAGAAGACAAUAGGUUCUCUCUGCAUACGCGUUUCUUAGUGUGGAUAAAAUCCUCCUAUUUCCCCAACACACUCUAUGCAUCCAUUAACAAAAAUGGCUUUCGACAGCACUAGCAAAGCAGUUGCGAAAGAGGCAUGGUCUGAACUAGUGCAUUCACUUCUGUCGUGGACUCCCUCCACUGAUAUGUCCAUGGUAUAUUACUACACUAUACCAGAGGACCACUCGAACCGCUUAGAUUUAUACAAAUAUAAGCUAGGUACCGAGAACAUCGAAGCCAGAAUUAAAUCUGGUCUGCAUUCUCAACUGGUGCAGCCAAAUUACCAAGGGAUCGAGCAUAUUCGAGAUUGUAUACGAUCAAGUAAUGGUAAUUAUGUGGUGAAAGCAGGGGAGCGUGAAGAUGAGCAAGGGAUUGAGUAUGUUCGAGUUUGUGUGAGAUCAACUAAUGAUUAUCAUGAUGUGGAAGUAAGUGAAGGUGAAAAUCAGCUGGGGAUUUCGGAUAUUCAACCUUGUGUGAGAUCCACUAAUCGUUAUUCUGCGGUGCAAGUAGAUGAACAAGGAAAUCAACUACUAAUGAACAGGAUCACCUACGAGCUAGUGAAAAUUAUGGCAACUUUAUUUGAUGACUUGUUCAAUUUCAUUGAGAGUUACAACAUGCACGGGGUAGAGAAGCCAACACUGCGGUUUCAAGUUCUGGAAUUAAUUAAGCUUUUACAUCACUAUGGAAGUGAUACUAUUCGAAGCGCAGUGGAGGAAGAACUUGAGUAUGUGAAUGAGAAGAAUUCAGCAACACAGUACAAGAAAGCUCUGGAAGUAAUGUUGAGAGUAUGCGAUACGGGGAUAAGUCAAAGUAUUUUUUACGAAAUAAUAGAAAAGGCAGAAACGGAUCAAGUGCUCUAUGAAUGGUGAGGAAUAAAUGGAGUCGUGCGGGUUAGCUUAAAAAAAAUGACUUCUUUCUUAAAAUAAAGAAUUGGAGUAGAAGUGAGAAGUAAAUUAAUAAUUAUAAAUUAUUAACGCAUUUGGAAAAGAAGUAGAAGUUGUAAAGAAAAACUAGCAUUUUCUAUUUCCAACUUCUUUCUCAUGACUUCUUAAAAAUACUCCUUACUUCUUCACGCAAGGAAAGUAGAAGCAGAAAGCUGGAGUUACUUCUUAUAAGAAUGUUUGUACUAAAUGAGAAAUGAGAAACACAGAAUUGAGAAUGAAUAUGAUUAUUGGUUUAAUAAUAGUGCAUAUUAUUUAAAAAGAUCGCAUACAUUACCAGCCAGAUGAAGUUAUUCAUCACAAGUCACAACAAAGUACAAAGAGAAAGUUGCAAUUCUGUCACUGACUGUCACUCACUCUGUAAAUUAUGAAGUUGCUCGAAAACAAAACACAAAAGAAAACGUUGCAAUUCCUCCGCUCUCAUAAAAUUACGAAGUUGAGAGCUCAGCUUAAUUAGCAAUGAGGUAGGCCUCAAUAGCCUUGAAAAGAGCAGUGUUCUGCUCAUCAGCAAACUUGAUGUUCUCCUCAGGAACCACGGCAUCGCCUUUGGUGUGGAAUAUGGCAGUGGUCUUAGUAAUGCUACCUCCGUCAGCAGUUGGCACAACGACCAUAUGGGUUUCAAUGGAUUCGAUGAAUCCUAGAAGGAUGUCUCCAUCAAUGACUGUGGAAUCGUAUGUCAAGGCCUCCUUGUUCACUGCAUCAGUUCUAACAGUCAUUGUGGUGAUUGGGCUACCUGCAACAGAAUUAUAUAAAAAUUUAUUUAAUGUACAAUUUCAGGAAAUAAUCACCUCAAAUCAGUAUGAUAUCAGAAAUGAUAUAUCGAGAAGAAUUGGAUAUAUAACUAACCUUCGGGAAGGGUGAUAGUUCUGAUGGUUCCAGCUCCACCGUCUCCUUUGACAUCAACACUCUUGUAAGCUCCGGGGGCAGCCUUGGGGAUAACAGUAUCAACAUCAAGGACGAUGCCGCUGAAUAUUUUCUCUGCUGAGACGGAAGAAGUGAUCUCGAGUGAAUGGCUCUGGGCACCCAUGAUCUUUAGGAAGUUAUUGCUGAAAUUUAGUAGAAAGAUUAAGCUCAAGGUUUAUGCUGGAAGAUUGAUGUGAUGAUAGUAGAGCACCAAGAGCACCUAUUUAUAGUACGCUAACAUCAAUGUUGAGGUGUUGAUAAAUAUUACAAUAAUGCAUUUUUUUAUUUUAAAAAGUUUAGAAAAGGAUUCCAAUCCGUUGAAAGAAAAGUUAAAGCUGUGUUUGUUGAAAUUUCAAAAGAUGUAUUCUAGAAGGGUCCUGUUCCUUGACAACCGGUUGUUAGAUAAGGGUUAUCUAACACACUGUACGGGGGCCGUUGGAUUUAUAUUCCAAGGGCUCAGAUUCAAUUUUGGGUUUUUAAUGUAUCCGCGGUUAUUUUCCGCGGAAGGGAAAACUCCCUAUCCGCGGUUAUUUACCGCGGAAGGGAGUUUUCCCUAUCCGCGGUUUUUUAUAGCGGAUACAUUAAAAUCUCAGAUUGGAUCUGGGCCUUUGAAAUAUAGAUCUAACGGCCCCCGUACAGUGUGUUAGAUAACCCUUAUCUAACAACCGGUUGUCAAGGAACAGGACCCAUUCUAGAAAGCAUUCACUAGUUUGAGUUGAAAGGUCAUAGAUGUACACUGGACAUACAUUGUUCAAACAAUCCAGUGUUGCUCAAUAAUUUAUUUAAAAUUUCUGACACAAAAAUAACUAUUUAUUUAAAAUUUUAAAUCUUGUAUUAAAAUUAUUGAAUUAUUUGUUUUUUUCAAAGAGAGAUUGUCCUUUUUAUCAUUGGUAGAUAUUUUAUCUCAUUGAAUUUGUUUUAACAAGGUUUUAAUGGAUGAGUAAGUGAUCCCUAUUAUAAUGACAAUCCGAGAGACAUAUUAUAAAACGAUUUUCGUUUUGCGUCAAUCACAUACAGUAUUAUACUCAUCCUUGUAAAUUUUUAGCCCUGUAUAAAAUUUCUAUAUGCUCCAGAUCAGUUUACAUUACUUAUAAAGAAAUGAGCUCACAACAACUAAACACACAGCAGCAAGCUCUUGUUUUUACUUGCUUUCUGUUUACUAACCUCUCUUACUUAUUACUAGUAACUUAAUUAAUAGCUCUAAUUCUAAUGUCAUGGUAGAUCCUAUAUUAUACUCCCUCCAUCUCAUUUUAAGUGUCCUGUUUUGACUUUCAACGGUCAAAUUGACCAACUUUUGACCAAGCAUAAAGAACAAAUUCGUUAUUAUUUUAAAAAACUAAAAAUUACAUUUUAUAGUAUAUUGUAUGUACUUUAAAGUGACAUAAAUUUUUUUAUUUUUAAAAAUUAUAUUAUAUGUGUAAAUCUCAGUUAAAAUUUGGUCAAUUUGACCAUUCAAAAGUCAAACAGGACACUUAAAAUGGGAUAGAAGGAGUAAUAAUUAUCUAUUUAUCACUGACCAAGUCUAGGCUGUUCACCAGCGUCCAUUUUUGACCUAAGUCUCUUGUCGUCUAAAAGUAUUACGAAUAUCCUCUUGUAAGUGUAAACAUAUAUACUGAUGACGUUUGACUUUUUACACGUGAUUUUGGGGGCUUUGACCGUAUAAGAAAUAUUAAUAUUUUUGCAAUUUUUUCUGAAUAAAAAUAUAACAUAAAUAUGUUUAUUUAUAAAAAAAAUUAAAAAAUAUUAAUUUUAAACAUGUGGUCAAGCCUCCCAAAGAUACGUGUAGAAAAUCAAACGUCCUCUAUAAUGGAUUAGAGGGAGUAACAAACUGGUUAAACGGGAAUUUUACUUAUCCUUGGGUGGGCAUUAUUUUACAUAUAAAAAACAUUUUAAGAAGCAUUCGGACAAAAGUAUAGUAGGUGGAUAGAGUGUUGUGUCGGGUUUUGUCAAUGUUGAGGGCUGAGUAUGAGCCACUUGUUCUUUGUUUAAAGACUCACAGUACAAUGUGUAUUAACCUAAGUCGUCCUGCAUGCGAAUUUGGUUAAAAUAGAGGUUACCAAAUUAAAAUAUAUUAUCUUGGAAGACGGUGUUCACCGGCCAGGUAAAAUUAUUAGAAUUUGUUGACACGUUAAAAAAUAGGAAAAUGCUAGAUGAACAGAAUUGGGUACGAAAGCAUUCAUAUAAUGAGUAUGUGUCAACUUUUAAUUGAAAUGGACCCCCUGUAUAUGCAUUAAUAGUACCAAUCAAAACUUUCCACCUCAGUUGCCAUAUCAUUUUGUGCAAAAUUCUGUACCCAAUUUUGUGCAUGUUAGCACUACUCUAAAAAAUAACCCAUGUUCACGUAUUGUUAUCCUAAAAUUGAAAGAUACAUUUAUGAAUGAUCUUGCACACAUGCCCCGUUUCAGCUGAUAUAAUUAUAUAAAAAUGAUAUUUUAACAACGGUUUUUCUAGUGUGUGCCUAUGGGCACAUGCUAAGCGCGGAAUUUGAGAAGUUUGGGAGAUUUUGAUUGGCUCUCAUAUCUUAAUAAUGGUAGACCCUCCUGCAAAUAUACCAACCACACCAAUCAAAAUCUCCCAAACAUAUCAAAUUCCGCGGACGCACACUGGACAAACCCUUUUAACAAAACUAAAUCGCACUGAAAUUUUGCUAACAGAGUCAGUUUUCUACACACCAAAAAGUUUCUAGCAUUAUCCUCAUCUGAUCUAGACACAUGAGUUUUUGUGCAUAUCUUUGGGGGACCCUGCUCAACUGUUUUGCUACUGUGAUUUAAAGAACGGGCCACGCAUAUUAAUCUUUUCUUUAAGUUUAAUUAUAUACAAUUCUAGGCUCUUAUCUUGCUUGAUAGGAACCUUGGUCCCUGGUAUGUGUAUAUCAAAAGACUUAUAUAACAUACAGAAUUUUUAUUGCAACAAAAUCCUGUUAUGUUUAGUGGUUUUCGUAAAUAUUCACUUAAGUUUCAAAUGAAAAAAGUUCAGGAACAUAAUGAAAUUUUGUUAUAAUUCUACUCGCCGGAUAUAUCACCCAACGGCCAUAUUUGUAAUCGAAAAAGAAUUUCUAAAUGCCCUGUUUGGAGAUUAGCUGUUAGCGGUUAGCUGUUAACGGAUUAAAUUAGAUAUUUUGACCAGCGGAUUGAAAUAAAUGUUUUGAGUAGCGGAUUGAAUUAGCUGUUAGGCAAAAUAAGUUUGUAAAGAUUGCCAUGAAGUUUACCAAUCCCCAUCACCCUCUUCAUAGGGUCCUGAACAAUACAGUGAUGAGCAUUAAAGUGAACUUCAAAAUUUGAUGAGGAACUAAGUUUACUGAUUGACACCAAAUUAAAGUGAAAAUCAGGAAUGUAUAGGACAUCAUGAAGGAUUAACUCUGAAGUUAACUGAAUUUGUCCUUUAGUCUUGACAUGUGCAAUGUGUCCAUUUGGAAGGCAAAUGUUUAUAUCACAAACAAUAGGAUUAAUCAGCAAAGUAUUGUGACAUGUUAUGUGAUCAGUUGCUCCAGAAUCUAAUACCCAAUCCAAGGAAGUAUGACAACUAGCCAGGCAAAUAGUAGUCAUUGAGGAGCAGUAAUUACCUGACUGUGGAGGAUCACCAGAAUGAGAGUUAGUAGAAUGAUUGAGAAGAGCAAGCAGCUGGUGGUACUGAUCAUCAGUGAAACCUGCAGAGGAGUUACUUGCAGACUGAGCAGUAGAGUUAUCUCCAUUAUCACCAACUUUGUUGACCUGAGCAAGGACUUUAGAACCAGAGUUUGGUUGAAACUUAGGUUUGCCUGCUGGUUGUUUUGCUCUUGGAGGAAAUCCAAUGAUAUGAUAGCAUCUCUCCCUGGUAUGAUUAGUUCCAUGACAGUGAGUGCAUUCCAUUGUGCCUUUCUUUGUCUGAGACUUAGGAUUUCCAGAGUUUGACUUCUUGAAGUUGGAUUUGUUUCCAUCAGUGACACUUCUAGUCAUGAGAACAGUAGAUUCUGGUACAGAUGUAUUGAAACUUGAGUAGUUUCUCUGCCUCUCAUCUUGCUGCAAUAGACUAAGUGUUUGUGUCAUCUUUGGAAGUGGAUCCAUCAUGAGAAGUUGACCUCUUAUAUUUGUGAAAUUCUCAUUGAGUCCCAUGAGAAACUGAGUAACUUUCACUUUCUCUUCAUAUUGCACAUUUUCAGACUUAGCACUACAAGUACAUUUUGGAGCAUUUGAUGCACUAACCAUAUCAUCAUAGAGUUUCUUGAAUUUUGUAUAAUAUGCAGAAAUAGUCAUAUUUUCUUGAACUAGACUAGCUAGAUCCUUUCUGAUCUCAAAGAACCGUGGUCCAUUGUUUUGAGUAAAUCGAGAGUGCAGAUCAGACCAUACAACAGAAGCAAGUGUAUCAUACACUAAACUAGACCUAAUUUCAGGAUUUAUGGAGUUCAACAACCAAGUGAUGAUCAUGUCAUUGCAUCUCUGCCAUGAAUCAAAGUAGGGAGAGGUAUUACCUGGAGUUUUGUAUUUUCCAGUGACAAGCCCUAACUUGUUCUUUGCAGAGAGAGCACGACUCAUAGACCUUUUCCACUCAUUGAAGUUAUCACCAGUAAGCAAUUCAGCGACAAGUAUCUGUCCUGGAUGAUCUGAAGGAUGCAAAUACAGUGGAUGACUUGAUUCCAAGCUAAUUGUAGUGAAAUCGCCAUCAAAAUCUGUAACUGUUUCUUCAUUAUCAGACAAAUGCGACGCCAUUAAACUGUUUGACAGAAUGUUUCAAAGAGACUUUAACACAGAUCUAUCUGAAUUGCUGCGAUUUACAACAACUCAAAUGUACAACUACGUGAACAAAGAUUGAGUGGUGGAGAUGAUGAUUGAGCGAUGGAAAUAGCGUUAGCGAUAAAGGAAGUAGCGGUGAGUAGCGGUGUUGUGCGAUGGUGAUGAACGAGUGUGUGCGGCGGAGACGAUAACUCGAGGAAAUUGCGGAAAAACGAGCGAACCUCGCUCUGAUACCAUGAGAAAAUUCUAAAUGGAAAGAAAGAAAUUUCAGAGAGUAAAACCAAAAAAAAAGUGUAUUCAUCUCUGAGCUAUAGCUCUGUUUAUAUACAAGAGUGCACAACUGAAUUCUGUUACACAAGUUCCCGCUCAACUAACAAACUUGAACAGUAUGAAAUGACUAAUAUGUCCUUAAGAUAUUUCUUGUAUUCUUAUUCUGCCCUUGUCCUUGCUGGCUUGUAUCUGUGGUAUAUUCUCCUCAAUAAAACUGUUUGGUUAAUAGCUGAUUGAUUAGUUUUUUCUGAUCCAAACCAAAACUUCUAAUCCAAAAAACUCCUCAAACUAUCUUUUUCAAAAUUAGCUUUUUGGUCUAAACCUCUAUAUCAAUCCGCUAACUACCAAACAUUUAUAUUAGCGGAUUCUAGUUGUCAAACCUCUAAACCACCCCAAAUUUCUAAUUUUGUCCCAAACCUCUAACUUUCAAAUAGGGCCAAAAAUUCUUAUGUAGCUCUCUCUUUUACAAAACCUUUGUUCAACAUGCGAUCGAGGUGGUCAACAACAGCGUCUAGAUGCCACCCACCAGUUAUCAGGCUUAGUGUUGGACGGCCAACCGAGGAGAAUGUUUGCCGAGUCUUAUCAUUCUCACUUAAAGAAAUACUACUCACUAAUUAGAUUUAUCUAUUUGGGGCACUGGCUUCUUUUUUUGUCAUCGUUCAUUUUUUAAGUUCUAUAAUCUUUGUAAUUGUUAAAUAUUAUUGUAAAUGCUUUUCCAACUUUUUAACUUUUCUGUAUAAAAUAAGCUUUUACGAUCAUAUUUCUCUUAGAACCCAUAGUAAUUUAACCAAGAUUCAGCGGCAGAAUUUGCCUUAUUUUGUAGUUUUGUAUUCUAAGCUGAACUUUUAUUUUGUAUUGAAAUCAUGAGAUAUUUUUUGAAUUUUAUCAGAGAUUUUUUGAUUAUUUUAAAUUAUUUUGACAAAUCAUGAUAUAAUAAAAUAAAAUACUUAUUAUGAAUUAAUCCGAAAAUAAUCGAAAAAUCAGGAAUUACUAUCCCUUAUUCCCUUGGAAUAUAGUAAGAGCAUCUCCAGCAGAGUCCUAACAUAUUCCCUAAAUAUAUAAUAAAAUAUUCAUUUUUUAAGGGAUCACUACAUUUUAUUGAAUCGAAACUCCAACAACAUUCUCUAUUUUUAUUCCCUAUUAUUAUUAUAAUAUUAUUUAUAUUCAACUUGUAAGUAGGAGAGAGAAAGGAGGGAAAGAGGGAGAAAAGUAGAGAAGUGAAUAUUUUAUUUUUCAAAAUAGUAUGAGGAAUGGUUCCACAAUCCUUAAAAAUGAGGAAUGAAGUGGGCAUCCUAAUUUUUUAAGGGAUGUCAUAUUCCUUAUAUUGAUAGCUUAGUACACCAUAUAGGGAAGCUGAGAUGCUCUUAAUACACAGCAGACACGGGUGGAGCCGAGGUUAGUGGGACCAACCAACUUUUAAUAUUUGCUAAUUUUGAAAGCAGGAUCCUCUUCACAAAUGCUGAUGCAGGAGUUAACCUCCACCGGAGUUGCUCUAACAACUCAGCAACGGCGGGGUCUCCAGCCUUGUACUCACAAAUCAAAUGUGGCAUUACUAGCUAGAGAGACCGAUAAAGUCCAGAAGUAUGCAAACAUACAUCAUUAAGGUUUGAGGGAAUAACAUUUUUAGCUAAUAAUUUAAGUAAAAUAGUAACGCAUAGACGAUUCAGAAAGAUUACAUCAAUACCGGUAUUUUAUUUCAUUUAAAAAGAUUACAAACGUUACAGAAUGAAGUUGCUCAUUAAAACAAAGUACAAAAAAAAAAAGUUGCAAUUUUGUCGUCCACUCAUAAAAUUAUGAAGUUGAGGCAUCUCUCCUUCUCUUCCCAUAAAUUUAAAAACGACAGAUUAUUGUAACACGGUGGAGAGUUCAGCUUAGUUAGCAAUGAGGUAGGCCUCGAUAGCUUUGAAGAGAGCCGUGUUCUGAGCAUCUGCAAACUUGAUGUUCUCUUCAGGAACCACGGCAUCGCCUUUGGUGUGGAAUAUGGCCGUGGUCUUGGUAAUGCUACCUCCGUCAGCAGUUGGCACAACUACGAGAUGGGUUUCAAUGGAUUCGAUGAACCCUAGAAGGAUGUCUCCAUCAAUGACUGUGGAAUCGUAUGUCAGGGCUUCCUUGUUAACUGCAUCAGUUCUAACCGUCAUUGUGGUGAUCGGGCUACCUGCAGCAGAAUUAUAUAUGUAUUCAAAAAAAAUUAUUUACUGUACAAUGUCGGGAAAUAAUCCCCUUCAAAUUAAUAUGAUAUCAGAUAUAAUACAUCGAGAAGAUGGAGUUGGAUAUAUAACUAACCUUCGGGAAGGGUGAUAAUUCUGACGGUUCCAGCUCCGCCAUCUCCUUUGACCUCGACACUCUUGUAAGCUCCAGGGGCAGCCUUGGGAAUAACUGUGUCAACAUCAAGGACAAUGCCGCUGAAUAUUUUCUCCGCGGAGACUGAAGAAGUGAUCUCGAGUGAAUGGCUCUGAGCACCCAUGAUAUUUAGAAUGUUUUUGCUGAAAAUUAGUGGAAAGAUUAAGCUCAAGGUUUGUGGUGUAAGAUUGAUGUGAUGAUAGUAGAGCACCAAGAGCACCUAUUUAUAGUACGCUAACAUCUCAAUGUUGAGGCGUUGAUAAAUAUUAUAAUGUAUUUUUUAAUUUUAAAGUUUAGAAUAGGAUUCCAAUUUGCUGAAAGAUAAGUUAAAGCAAUGUUUGUUGAAAAUAAAUGUACUCUAGAAAGCAUUCACUAGUUUAAGUUGAAAGGUCAUAAAUGUACACCGGACAGACAUUGUUCAAACAAUCCACUGUUUGCUCAAUAAACUUCCCCUGCUCAAUAACUAAAACGAAUUUUCUAUGGUGUGUCCAUGGACACGCAAUAGUCACUAACUUUCAUGAAAAUACUAGCUUUUGAUUGGUGGAUGAGUAAUAAAUGUUAAUAGUCCCUCUGGAUUCACACCAAUUCCACCAAUCAAAACAAGCUUUUUUCAUGAAAGUACGUGCUUAUUGUGUGCUUUUGGGCACACAUUAGAAAGACCGUAACUAAAAAUAAGUUGUAAAAAAACUACAAGAAUUUAAUUCAACUUCUUAUAUACAAACUUAUAAGUUAGAAAUUGAUUUAUUAAUCUUUUAUAUAAACAGUACCAAUAAAAUGUAGCUAUUCUGUUUUACUCAUGUACUAAAUUUGUAUAUGCUCUCUUGAUCAGUUUAUAUUGCUUAUAAAGAAAUGAGCUCACAACAACUAAACACACACCAGCAAGCUCUUGUUUUUACCUGCUUUCUGUUUACUCACCUCUCUUGUCAAUUAGUAACUUAAUUAAUAGCUCUAAUAUUGUUACCGUAGAUAUUCCUAUAUUACAAUAAUUAACUAUUUAUCAGUGAUUAAGUCUAGGUUAUUUACCAGCGUCCAUUGUUGACCUAAGUCGCCUGCCGUCUAUAAGUAUCACGAGAACUAACUUAUCUAGUAGUAGGUCAUGUAAACAUAUAUACUAACAAACCAAUUAAAACGGAGUUUUACUUAAUUAUACUUAGGGCUUUUUUUUACACUAGUAUAAAACAUUUUGAGAAACAUUCGGACAAGAGUAUUGCGUUGGAUAGGGUGUUCUGUCCUGUUUUGUCAAUGUUGAGGUGCUCGAGUAUGAAAUAACCAUUUAUUUUUUGUUUAUAGAGUCACAGCAUAAUGUUUAUUAUAAUUUGAUUAUAAAUGAAUUUAUAAUUUUUUUUAUUUACCUAAUCUAUAGUAACGACAUUCCACAAACGCGUCGCUAGUAUUUUAGGCGUCGGCGUUCUAAAACAUAAUAAUAUAAGAGGUCCAGUCCAAUUGCAUUCCUAGCUGGUCGACAUUUCAAUACCCGACACUAUAACUAAUUUAAGACAUUGGCAUUCUGAAGCCAGACGCAUAUAAUGGUUUAAUGUCGGUUAAAUAUGGAACGGAUGCAGAAGGUCUAGAGAAAUUGUCAAUAUGUGUCGGUUAAGCCAGCACCCGACACAUAUGACACAUAUGUGUCAAUACGGUCGAAAUUAUAUUUCGGUCGAAAUUAGCCGCUUUUCUUGUAGUGUGAGGUGUCUAAGACGACGGUUUCUUAUAGAACCGACGCAGAAAGUGCGACGCAUAAAAUCAAUUUUAUACUGGCGUAUAAAACGUCUGCAUGUGAAAUUGGUUGAAAGAGAGCUAACAAGAUUAAAAUAUAUUAUCACGAAAGACGAGGUUCCCCGGUAGGAAUGGGCAUCGGGCCCCUUCGGGUCGGGGAUUGCUAUACCCGGCCCCGAUCCCCGAAUCCAAACUCAAUCCCCAUCCCCGGCCCGAUCCCCAUCGGGGAUUAUUUUUCGAUCCCCAUCCCCGGCCCGAUCGGGAUUCGGGGAUACCCGCGGUGAUUCGGGGAUUUUUAAUUUAAGCUAAAAUUUCUAUUUAAAUACUUAAAUUCAUAAUUACAAUUAGUUUCUAAUAUGUCUAAUUAAUACCUAAUCAUUUUAAUAAACAGAUCUUCAAUGAUUUAAUUAUGACCUUUUUAGUUUUAAGACUUAUAUUAAUAGAAAUAAUUUUUUUUUUGAAACAAUAGAAAUAAAUAUUAAAAUUUAUUUCAAUAAAUUUAAUUAUAUUAAAGAGGUAUAUAAACAUGUUAAUAAAUGAUUAUAAACAUGUGAAAAUCCAUGACUGAAGUUGACCUAAAGAGGUAUAUAGCAUGUUAAUAAAUGAUUAUAAACAUGUGAAAAUCCAUGACUGAAGUUGACCUAAAGAGGUAUAUAGCAUGUUAAUAAAUGAUUAUAAUAUAUAUAUUUAUAUAAUAUAUAAUAUAUAAUAUAAUAAUCGGGUCGGGGAUCGGGUCGACAAUCGGGGAAAAUCGGGCCGGGGGAAUGUUAAAAACCGUACCCGAUCCGAUCCCCGAUUUUUUUUCAAAGUCAUCCCCGUUCCCCGGCCCGUACCCGAAAAAAUCCCCGAAUCCCCGCACCAUUCGAUGCGGGGAUCGGGUCGGGAUCGGGCGGGUCGGGAUUAAUGCCCAUCCCUAUUCCCCGGGCAGGUAGAGAAUUACUCCCUCCGUCCCUCCCAUUUCUUAUCGAAUGGGUUGGGCACGGAGGUUAAGAAAUAUGAAUAAAGUAGUUCAAAAUAGAAAGAAAAGUGGGUGAAUUGGUGGGACCCACUAAUUUUUAAUGUAUAAAAGGGAGAUAGUGGAGUAAAAGUAGUGUGAAAAGAAAAGAAAAGUGGAGAAGUGGUGGGACCCAUUGACCAUAUUUGGUAAGUUUUGAAAUGUAAAGAAUUGGAUGGGACACCCCAAAAAGGAAAGUGUAAAGAAAUGGAAGGGACGGAGGGAGUAGCUUAUUACUGUAGAUCAUAACCCCAUAGUGUCAAACUUCCGCAAAGCAAACAAUUUUCAAGCAUUAUCCGAAUCUGAUCUAGACAUGAGUUUUUGUGCUCAAACUGUCUUGCUAAUGUGAUUUAAAGAUAGCAAGUCCAAGAGAAGCCUUAAAUCAUGUCCAUAAUCAAAAUUUAGGGCAUUUGAUAAAAAGGAUUGUUCCAACAAUGUCCUAGUGAUGCCUUGUAUCACUAGUACAAUCCAUUUAAGCCCUAUUUUUGAGGCAUUCUCUCUCCUUGCCCUAUCCCAUAUUUUAUAAUAAAUUCCUACAAAUACUCUCUUUCUCUCUCUACUUUAUAUUAUGUUUUAAUGAUGAAAGUGAACUUUUAAUAAUAAAAUAUUAAACAUAUAGUGAAAAUAAGGCACAUUGUUGGAGUUGAAGUUGGUAGAAUAUGUCCUAAACUACUAGGACAUAAUUUUUUAUAUUAUAUUUAGGGCUCUAACUAGGACACUGUUGGACUUGCUCUAAGUAAAUAAUAACACUAUAGAAAACUUUUAUUGAACAUGCGAUGGAGGUAGUAAACAACAGCGUCUAGAUGCCAAGAAUAGACCCAUAUAGGGGGUGUUUGGCAAACCGACUUCGGAGCUUUUUUAACAUAGAAGUCGACUUCUACUUAAAUGGAGGUGUUUGGCUAAUUAUGAGAAGCACUUAUAUUGAAGCUUAAAAGCCCCAAAAAAGAAGUUAGGAAACCUAGCUUAUUUUGGGGAUUUAGCUUCUUCUAUCACUUAUAAUCAAUAUAUAUUCAAACACUUUUAAUAACUUAUAAGUCCAAAUCAACUUUUCACUUAUAAUCUACUUAUUUAUUUUAAGCAAUAAGUCACUUUUUUUAAGUCCAGCCAAACUGCCCCAUAGUAAUAAAACAUCAUUACAAUUAAUCACCAGUUAUCAGGCUUAUAAGGGUUGGAUGGACUAACUGAGGAGGUUUACUGAGUCUUAUCAUUCUCACUUAAUGAAAUAAUUAAAUUUAUCUUUUUGGGACACUGCAAGCUUCUUUUUUCUGUCAUCGACUCAUCGUUCAUACUACAAAUUCUUUACUCUUUCUAAUUUCAAACCGAAACUUGAAAUUAAUUAAUUGGGAUGACCUAUAUAUCAUUAAGGUUCAAGUGAAUUACAUUUUUAACUAAAAAAUAUAAGUAACAUAUGAAAGCACAGAUGAUCCAGAAAGAUUACAUUAAUGUCGGUACUAUAUUUUAUUUAAAAAGAUUACACAUAUUGUUACCAAAUGAAAUUGCUCAUUAAAACAGAGUACAAAGAAAAAGUUGCAAUUCUAUCGCCCGCUCAUAAAAUUAUGAAGUUGAGGCAUCUUUGGCGCUCUUCCCAUAAAUUUAAAAACGACAGAUUAUUAAAACACGGUGGAAAGUUCAGCUUAGUUAGCAAUGAGGUAGGCCUCGAUAGCUUUGAAGAGAGCGGUGUUCUGAGCAUCUGCAAACUUGAUGUUCUCUUCAGGAACGACGGCAUCACCUUUAGUGUGGAAUAUGGCCGUGGUCUUGGUAAUGCUACCCCCGUCAGCAGUUGGCACAACGACAAGAUGGGUUUCAAUGGAUUCGAUGAAGCCUAAAAGGAUGUCUCCAUCAAUAACGGUGGAGUCGUAUGUCAAGGCCUCCUUGUUGACUGCAUCAGUUCUAACCGUCAUUGAGGUGAUCGGGCUACCUGCAGCAGAGAAUUAUAUAUGUAUUCAAAAAAUUUAUUAAUUGUACAAUGUCGGGAAAUAAUCCCCUCAAAUUAAUAUGGUAUCAGAAAUGAUACAUCAACAAGAUGGGGUGAGAUAUAUAACUAAC
RNAcentral lists this long non-coding RNA (35517 nucleotides) under Daucus carota (carrot). Its description in RNAcentral is "long non-coding RNA (DCAR_LNC005847)". The record is from RNAcentral. Lineage: Eukaryota; Viridiplantae; Streptophyta; Magnoliopsida; Apiales; Apiaceae.